UACGAAGGGGGCUAGCGUUGCUCGGAAUCACUGGGCGUAAAGGGUGCGUAGGUGGGCAGGUAAGUCAGUGGUGAAAUCUCCGGGCUCAACCCGGAAACUGCCAUUGAUACUAUCAGUCUUGAAUAUCGUGGAGGUAAGCGGAAUAUGUCAUGUAGCGGUGAAAUGCUUAGAUAUGACAUAGAACACCAAUUGCGAAGGCAGCUCACUACACGAAUAUUGACACUGAGGCACGAAAGCGUGGGGAUCAAACAGG
Molecule: ribosomal RNA, 253 nt
Filed under: uncultured bacterium
Lineage: Bacteria
Description: partial 16S ribosomal RNA
Rfam family: Bacterial small subunit ribosomal RNA
Source: RNAcentral